UUAGAAGGGUCUGGGGAUUUGUUUAAAAGGAGCAACCAAAAGCCUGCCAGAUACAGCAAAAGGGAUAUUAUGCUAGGGCUUAUACUGACCAUUAGUUCUGAUUACUGGGGAGGUUUUGAAGCGCAAAGCGGCCAUGAUGAUUGGAAUCGCUUUCAGGUAGGUUUUUAAAAGUAUUGAUCUAGUUUGUUUCCCUUGUCCUUCAGGUGUUACAGGUAGCUAUGUUUAUAACAGACUUUCUUUUUUUUAAAGAGUUUCUUGGCUUUGUUGCCUGCUAAUUGGAGGGAUAACCUGUUCUACAUCAAGUGAUGGGUAUCCUGCACUAGGUUCUGAUGCAGCAUGGCUCUAUGCAGGCUCACUUGGGUCUAAAGGAUAUGGUAAUUACAACUCUCCAACAGCUGAAAUGCAAGCGCAGCUGACCGAAGAGCAACAGAAGCAUCCGGCUGCCAUCCUGCAAAAACAACUGGCCCCCAUGCCCCAGGCACCUCAGAAAAUGUGGUAUCCAGCUCAAAUGCCCCAGAAGCAACCAGCUACUGAACUUCAGCAUCAGAAGGAACAGGCCGCCAUACCCCAGCUACCUCAGCAAGUGUGGUAUCCAGUUCAAAUACCCCAGCAGCAAAAGCAACCAGCUACUGGUCCUCAGCAGCAGAAGGAACUGACCACCAUGCCCCAGAAGCAACUGGCUCCAAUGCCUAUACCUCAGAACCAACCAAUAGCUAUGCCCCAGCAAGCAUGGUAUCCAGCCCCAAUGCCUCCACCGCAGAAGCAACCGGCCACCAUGCCCCAGCAAGUGUGGCAUACAGCUCAAAUGCCCCAGCAGCAAAAGCAACCAGCUACUGAACCUCAGCAGCAGAAGGAACCGGCCGCCAUAACUCAGCAAGUGUUGCAUCCAGCUCAAAUGCUGCUGAAGCAACCGACUGCCAUGCCCCAGCAAGUGUGGUAUCCAGCUCAAAAGCCCCAGAAUCAACCAGUCCCUAUGCGUCAACCGCAGAAGGAACUGACCGCCAAUCCACCACAACUGUGGCAAUCUGCUCAAAUGCCCCAGCAGCAUAAGCAACCGGCUACCACGCUUCAGCAAGUGUGGCAAGCGGCCCCCAUGCCCCAGCAGCCUCAUGACGUGUGGUAUCCAGCUAAAAUGGUCCAGAAGCAACAAGCCUCUGCAACUCGGCGGCAGAAGGAACUGACCGCCAUGCCUCAGCAAGAGUGGCAUCCAGCUCAAAUGCCCCAGAAGCAACCAACCGCUGAACCUCAGCAGCAGAAGCAAGAGUGGCAUCCAGCUCAAAUGCCCCAGAAGCAACCAACUGCUGAACCUCAGCAGCAGAAGCAACUUACCGCCUUGGCCCAGGAAGUGUGGACUCCAGCUCAAUGUCCCCAGCAGCAGAAGCAACCGGCUGCUGAAACUCGGCAGAAAAUUGAACCGACUGCCAUGCCCCAGCCACCUCAGCAAGUGAUGCAUCCAGCUCAAUUUCCCCAGGAGCGGAAGCAACCAGCCCCAAUGCCUUUACCGCAGAAGGAACUGACCGCCAUACCUCAGCUAGUGUGGUAUUCACCUCAGCAGCAGAAGCAACCGACUGCUGAACCUCAGCAGCAGAAGCAACCGACUGCUGAACCUCAGCAGCAGAAGCAAGUGUUGCAUCCAGCUCAAAUGCUGCAGAAGCAACUGACUGCCAUGCCCCAGCAAGUAUGGUAUCCAGCUCAAAAGCCCCAGCUGCAGAAGCAACCGGCCGCUGAACCUCAGCAGCAAAUUGAACUGACCGCCAUGCCCCAGCCACCUCAGCAAGUGUGGCAUCCAGUUCAAAUACCCCAGCAGCAAAAGCAACCAGCUACUGGUCCUCAGCAGCAGAAGGAACUGACCACCAUGCCCCAGAAGCAACUGGCUCCAAUGCCUAUACCUCAGAACCAACCAACAGCUUUGCCCCAGCAAGCAUGGUAUCCAGCCCCAAUGCCUCCACCGCAGAAGCAACCGGCCACCAUGCCCCAGCAAGUGUGGCAUCCAGCUCAAAUGCCCCAGCAGCAAAAGCAACCAGCUACUGAACCUCGGCAGCAGAAGGAACCGGCCGCCAUAACUCAGCAAGUGUUGCAUCCAGCUCAAAUGCUGCUGAAGCAACCGACUGCCAUGCCCCAGCAAGUGUGGUAUCCAGCUCAAAAGCCCCAGAAUCAACCAGUCCCUAUGCGUCAACCGCAGAAGGAACUGACCGCCAAUCCACCACAACUGUGGCAAUCUGCUCAAAUGCCCCAGCAGCAUAAGCAACCGGCUGCCACGCUUCAGCAAGUGUGGCAAGCGGCCCCCAUGCCCCAGCAGCCUCAUGACGUGUGGUAUCCAGCUAAAAUGGUCCAGAAGCAACAAGCCUCUGCAACUCGGCGGCAGAAGGAACUGACCGCCAUAUCUCAGCAAGAGUGGCAUCCAGCUCAAAUGCCCCAGAAGCAACCAACCGCUGAACCUCGGCAGCAGAAGCAACUUACCGCCUUGGCCCAGGAAGUGUGGACUCCAGCUCAAUGUCCCCAGCAGCAGAAGCAACCGGCUGCUGAAACUCGGCAGAAAAUUGAACCGACUGCCAUGCCCCAGCCACCUCAGCAAGUGAUGCAUCCAGCUCAAUUUCCCCAGGAGCGGAAGCAACCAGCACCAAUGCCUUUACCGCAGAAGGAACUGACCGCCGUACCUCAGCUAGUGUGGUAUUCACCUCAGCAGCAGAAGCAACCGACUGCUGAACCUCAGCAGCAGAAGCAAGUUAGGUAUCCAGCUAAAAUGCCCCAGAAGCAUCUGGCCUCCAUGCCGCAGAAGCAACCGACCGCCGUGCCCCAGCAAGGGUGGCAUCCAGCUCAAAUGCUGCAGACACAACUGACCGCCGUGCCCCAGCUAACAUGGUAUCGAGCUCAAAUUCUCCAGCAGCAGAAACAACUGGCCUCCAUGCCGCAGAAGCAACCGGCCACCAUGCCGCCGCAAGUGUUGCAUCCAGCUCAAAUGCUGCAGAAGCAACUGACCGCCAUGCCCCAGCAAGCAUGGUAUCCAGCUCAAAAGCCCCAGCUGCAGAAGCAACUGGCCGCUGAACCUCAGCAGCAAAUUGAACUGACCGCCAUGCCCCAGCCACCUCAGCAAGUGUGGCAUCCAGAUCAAUUUCCCCCGGAGCAGAAGCAACCAGCCCCUAUGCAUCUACCGCAGAAGGAAAUGACCGCCGUACCCCAACUGUGGCAAACAGCUCAAAUUCCCCAGCAGCAUAAGCAACCGGCUGCCAUGCUUCAGCAAGUGUGGCAUCUGGCGCAGAAGCAACCGGCCCCUAUGCCCCAGCAGCCUCACGACGUGUGGUAUCCAGCUAAAAUUAUCCAGAAGCAACAAGUCGCUGCACUGACCGCCAUGCCGCAGACACAUCAGCAAGUGUGGCAUCCAGCUCAAUUUCCCCAGCAGCAGAAGCAAUCGGCCUCCACGCCUCUUCCGCAGGAGCAACCGACCGCCGUACCCAAGCAAGUGUGGUAUCCAGCUCAAAUGUCCCAGCAGCAACUGGCCUCCAUGCCUCUACCGCAGAAGCAACUGACCCCCAUGCCUCAGCAAUUAUGGCAUGUAGCUCAAAUGCCCCAGAAGCAACUGGCCUCCAUGCCUCUACCGCAGAAGCAACUGACCCCCAUGCCUCAGCAAUUAUGGCAUGUAGCUCAAAUGCCCCAGAAGCAACUGGCCUCCAUGCCUCUACCGCAGAAGCAACUGACCCCCAUGCCUCAGCAAUUAUGGCAUGUAGCUCAAAUGCCCCAGAAGCAACUGGCCUCCAUGCCUCUACCGCAGAAGCAACUGACCCCCAUGCCUCAGCAAUUAUGGCAUGUAGCUCAAAUGCCCCAGAAGCAACUGGCCCCAAUGUCUCAGCAGAAGCACUACGAAAGCACUGAAGAUGGUGUCUCUGGUAGCUCUCAGGCCAGCAUUGUUGAACAGUUGGGUGUCAUCCCAAUCUAUUCCUACAGUUCCAAAUCGCACUACGAGAAGGGCAGAACUGUCUUCUCCCAAACCCGCUACACUCCUAGGGAGGCUAUGCCUGUUGACAGUGGAAAUGCUCCCAAGGACAGUUAUGUUGGCAUUGGUGCACCAAGCAUACAUCCACCACUAGUGAAGGAUUCUGCAAGGGAAAUGUAAUGGAGUCAUCCUCUAGAAGCUCUAAUGGUGAGAAUUGUUUGACAUUGGUUACAUAACAUUCUGUAUUGCUGACACUGUUUGCAUUUCUUUCUGCUUUUGUUUCGACCAGGAAGUUGCUGGUGCUCUAGCGUGAUGGAAUCAAUAAACAAUUUUAUUUUCAAAAAUG
Salmo trutta (river trout) is the source of this 4277-nucleotide long non-coding RNA. The record is from Ensembl. NCBI's taxonomy places the organism in Eukaryota, Metazoa, Chordata, Actinopteri, Salmoniformes, Salmonidae.